GCAACUUGCACCUUAGCCUAGAAAAGCCAC
This 30-nucleotide non-coding RNA is filed under the name Homo sapiens (human). The record is from RNAcentral. Lineage: Eukaryota; Metazoa; Chordata; Mammalia; Primates; Hominidae.